This 433-nucleotide ribosomal RNA is filed under the name uncultured bacterium. Its description in RNAcentral is "partial 16S ribosomal RNA". It matches the Rfam family "Bacterial small subunit ribosomal RNA", at positions 29 to 507 of the family's 1533-position model. The record is from RNAcentral.
AACGAACGCUGGCGGCAUGCCUAACACAUGCAAGUCGAACGAGACCUUCGUGUCGAGUGGCGCACGGGUGCGUAACGCGUGGGAACCUGCCCUUAGGUUCGGAAUAAUUCCCCGAAAGGGGUGCGAAUACCGGAUAAUGUCUUCGUACCAAAGAUUUAUUGCCUUUGGUUGGGCCCGAGUUGUAUUAGAUAGUUGGUAGGGUAACAGCCUACCAAGGCGACGAUCCAUAGCUGGUCUGGGAGCAUGAUCAGCCACACUGGGGCUGAGACACGGACCGGACUCCUACGGAAGGCAGCAGUGGGGACUAUUGGACGCUGGGCGAGAGCAUAAUCCAGCAGUGCCGCGUGAGUGAUGAAGGCCUUAGGGUUGUAAAGCUCUUUUAAACGGGAUGAUAAUGACAGUACCGGGACAAUAAGCUCCGGCUAACUACGUG